RNAcentral lists this ribosomal RNA (795 nucleotides) under uncultured bacterium. Its description in RNAcentral is "bacterial SSU rRNA". It matches the Rfam family "Bacterial small subunit ribosomal RNA", at positions 9 to 812 of the family's 1533-position model. The record is from RNAcentral.
GAGUUUGAUCAUGGCUCAGGACGAACGCUGGCGGCGUGCCUAACACAUGCAAGUCGAACGAGGUCCAACCAGUGGCAACACUGGGGACGGCCUAGUGGCGAACGGGUGAGUAACACGCGAGGAACCUGCCCCGAAGACCGGGAUAACUUUCCGAAAGGAAAGCUAAUACCGGAUGUCCCCACCGGAUCACAUGGUCUGGCGGGGAAAUGGAUUCCGCUUCGGGAGGGCCUCGCGGCCUAUCAGCUUGUUGGUGGGGUAACGGCCCACCAAGGCGUCGACGGGUAGCUGGUCUGAGAGGACGAUCAGCCACACUGGGACUGAGACACGGCCCAGACUCCUACGGGAGGCAGCAGUGGGGAAUCUUGCGCAAUGGGCGAGAGCCUGACGCAGCAACGCCGCGUGGGGGAUGAAGGCUCUCGGGUUGUAAACCCCUUUCAGUAGGGACGAAAUCAGACGGUACCUACAGAAGAAGCCCCGGCCAACUACGUGCCAGCAGCCGCGGUAACACGUAGGGGGCAAGCGUUGUCCGGAUUUAUUGGGCGUAAAGAGCUCGUAGGCUGUUCGGUAAGUCGGGUGUGAAACCCCCAGGCCCAACCUGGGGACGCCACCCGAUACUGCUGUGACUCGAGUCCGGUAGGGGAGCGUGGAAUUCCCGGUGGAGUGGUGGAAUGCGUUGAGAUCGGGAGGAACACCAGAGGCGAAGGCGGCGCACUGGCCAACGACUGACGCUGAAGCGCGACAGCGUGGGGAGCAAACGGGAUUAGAUACCCCGGUAGUCCACGCCGUAAACGAUGA